Molecule: ribosomal RNA, 468 nt
Filed under: uncultured bacterium
Lineage: Bacteria
Description: partial 16S ribosomal RNA
Rfam family: Bacterial small subunit ribosomal RNA
Source: RNAcentral
GACGAACGCUGGCGGCGUGCUUAACACAUGCAAGUCGAACGGAAAGGCCCUGCUUUUGUGGGGUGCUCGAGUGGCGAACGGGGGAGUAACACGUGAGUAACCUGCCCCUGACUUUGGGGUAACUUCAGGAAACUGGGGCUAAUACCGGAUAGGAGCUCCUGCUGCAUGGUGGGGGUUGGAAAGUUUCGGCGGUUGGGGAUGGACUCGCGGCUUAUCAGCUUGUUGGUGGGGUAGUGGCUUACCAAGGCUUUGACGGGUAGCCGGCCUGAGAGGGUGACCGGCCACAUUGGGACUGAGAUACGGCCCAGACUCCUACGGGAGGCAGCAGUGGGGAAUAUUGCACAAUGGGCGGAAGCCUGAUGCAGCAACGCCGCGUGCGGGAUGACGGCCUUCGGGUUGUAAACCGCUUUCGCCUGUGACGAAGCGUGAGUGACGGUAAUGGGUAAAGAAGCACCGGCUAACUACGUG